Long non-coding RNA from Hibiscus syriacus, 2383 nucleotides. RefSeq lists it as uncharacterized. The transcript has 3 exons. Lineage: Eukaryota; Viridiplantae; Streptophyta; Magnoliopsida; Malvales; Malvaceae. The record is from RefSeq and is a predicted model, not a curated record.
GGCUCGACUUCACUAGAUGCCUAUUCCCUACUCUACUUACCACGUUCCUCUUGCGAAUCUGAAGAGGCAAUAACAGUAAAAACACGAAAUCAAACAAGAGCAAAGAUUUCUUUUGGCAGAUAAAAGAACGAAAUAUAAUUUGUUAUUUUUGUGGAAAAGUAAGAGAGAAGGGAAAAGAUGAAGAUCACGUCGUUAUUGGUAUUGAAGUGCAUCCCAGAAGGACCCGAUGCGAUAAUAUUAGCGAACGCAUCCGAUGUGAGCCAUUUCAGUUACUUCAAAAGGCCAAGCGUCAGGGAGUUUAUCGUCUUUUUCGCUCGAACCGUCGCUAAACGUACGCCAUCCAUCCAGCGCAAAGGUGGUAGAUGAAUACCAGAAAGAAAUUGGGGAAUCAUGGAGGAACGUGGAAGCUGAUGCUUUGAUAGUACUCAAUCUUGGCCUUAUCUGGAUGAGUCUCUGGUCAAAUUCCAGGACCCCGCCGAGGCUGAUAAAUUGUUGAAAGUUCAAAGGGAAUUGGAUGAACCUUAGAUCAUCCUCGUAAGUAUUUUGUUGUCUUCGUUUCAUGGAUUUUAUGGCUUCAUGUGGUUUCUUUUAGCUUUCAGCUUCCGUUCCAUGCAAUCUUCAGCUUCUAAUUAUCAUUUUGUUGGCUAAUACCCAUAGUGAAUGUUUAUUCUGAAAUUAACAUGCAGAUUACAGAACACAUGUUUUAGGUUGAAAUUUUUUCCUUUUUCACUUUAACGUUUUGAUUUCUUGAUAAUGUGACGUUAAAAUAUUUGAUUAUAAGUAGCUGACUAGCCAUCAUUGAUGAUGUUUAACUAGGAGUGAUAUUAAGAACCUGUUUUGCCUUUUCAGUUGGAUGGUGAGAAUGCAAUUUGUAAAUGUAUUGGAUUCAGACUGUUCCCUCCAUUUUCUGAUCAGGGAAAUGACUGGACAAGUGCCUAAAUGAGUUUUCUAAAAUUACACUUCUACCAUAUUAUUCGGGGAAAGAGAGGUAUUCUAAGUUAGGUCAUAUAAACUGCCUGAUGGCUCUUUAGAAUACAAGAAAUCCAACUGAAAUGAACCUAGGUUCCAUUCUUAGAAUAUGGUUUGUUAAAAUUAUUUCUUACUUGAAACCAUUGCUAGUGGCUGGCUGGUUAUAAUUCCUUGUAAAAUUGAUAAUAGAUCCAUCAACAGAUUGCGUAACAGUUCGGUUUGUUCGGCAUGGAUUACAGUGAGUCUUUGAGUGCUGUCUGUUCGGUUUCUCAACGUGAAGAUUUGGAGGAAUUCUUGCUAGCUAGAAAGAAUUGUAAUGUUAUGUGAACCUAUGAUUGAUUAUUUAUUCUUCUCUCGCUGAUUGAAAUGAGUAUUUCUUUGACGUAAGCAUAAAACUAUUGAUAGUGUGCUUGCACGAGGUGAGAAGCUAGACAAUUUAGUUGAGAAGAGUUCAGACCUGAGUGCGGCAUUUCAGGUACAUCGUGGAAGACUCCACAUGUCAUCCCAUUAUGCAUAUGCAUCUAGCUGAUUCUUUUGGCCUUUGUUUCUUUCUAGUUUAUCACUUCUUUCCUUGGUACUUGGGGUUGUAUAUCAUUGAAACCAAGAGUCCACCUCUCUAUCAAAAGAUCAAAAGGUUAACAUAUCUAUUAGUAUUUCCCAUUAGUAUGUCUUCAAAUGCUCCUGAACAUAGCAGGCAUGUGACUAUUAUAUGCUUCUGAAAUCCUUUCAUCGUAGCAUGAUUUUAUCAACUGAAUUCCGAUAGAACGGCCAUUACACCUAAUUUUGUUUAUACUUGGAAACAGAUGUUCUACAAGCAGGCUAAGAGAACCAAUCAAUGCUGUACCUCACUGUAAACUUCAGUAAAAGCGGUGGUACGGCACCAUUUACCAGUUCUGGUGCCUGAAGCUCCGAUGGUAACUGUAAUUUUGCUUACAUGGUUUUAUCAAUACUUAGUUUUAGAGAACUUGGUAGCUUUCAUUAUAAAACGGGAAAUGAAAUCAUAAUGUUUACAAAGUAGAUGACCUUUGAAAUGGGUAAACCGCACACACACACGAACACAUAUAUAACCAAGUAAUUGCUCUUUAGUUUCAACCAGAAUUGCAUAUAACUUGAUCAGAGUUUCAUAUUUAAAACAUUCAACUGAAAGCCAACCUAUUUCUUAGCAGAACAAACACAAGGUGGGAAUAUUGAGUACUGGAUUUCGAUAUUUCCACAAAACCAUGAUUUCUACUUCCCAAAAAGGGAUUUGAUCCACCAAAUGCCUUUGGUGUCGUUAGAAGUGUUCUCUCCUUCUGGUGGAGGAUCGCUUUGUUCGGUCUUGUGCAGUUUACUAACAUCAUAUCCCACAGCUUCAGCUUUCUGCACCAGAUGAUUGUAGAUUCCAUCAUCCAUAUGUGUCUGCCUGCACAGUAUC